ACCUGACUGGCUCAGUCGGAAGAGUAUGUGACUCUUGAUUUCGGGGUCAUGAGUUUGAGUCCCAUUUUGGGUA
Molecule: transfer RNA, 73 nt
Filed under: Mustela putorius furo (domestic ferret)
Lineage: Eukaryota; Metazoa; Chordata; Mammalia; Carnivora; Mustelidae
Rfam family: tRNA
About the family: Transfer RNA (tRNA) molecules are approximately 80 nucleotides in length.
Source: Rfam by way of RNAcentral